Molecule: RNA transcript, 1531 nt
Organism: Vicia villosa (hairy vetch)
Lineage: Eukaryota; Viridiplantae; Streptophyta; Magnoliopsida; Fabales; Fabaceae
Exons: 3
Source: RefSeq, a predicted model, not a curated record
UACUUUUGUGAUAUCAGGUCAUCUGCAUGUCAUAUUACAGAAAGUGGGAAUAUUACUAUGAUAUUUUAAAAAGAUAAAACCAAAGAACUAUAGCAGUAGUAGCUCAUUGUUUAUGUUUUUCUAUUUCAUGGCUUUAAUGGAAUUUUCGCUUGCAUUAGUCCUUGUAUUUUUAUGUUGAUAGAUUUUGGGAUCCCUAUAUCUGAAUCGUAUCAGUGUUGACUAGAUUGAUUCCUCUUCUAUCGGGGCAUUGGCGUUACUGAGUUCAAUAAGCUUAUUAGGUUUUUUUCAUAGAUGGGGCAUUCUGCUGCUGUAUGGGAGUUUAGAGUAGCAGCUGAACUUACAAAGGGCUGGAAUGGAGUUGAUCAAGUUGUACUUCAUACGCCACAAAGUACUUCAGCACGGGUGAGAACUUGUUGAUUAAUUUAUUUGCGUUGGUUUUAACAUUAGACGGAAUCAUGAUUUUGUCAUUUUCCGAACUUUGAGGUAAAGUUCAUCAAACGUCGAGAGAAUUCGGUUGCCCAUACGUUAGCUAAGGCGGCCAAUUCUUGGACUAGGCGUCAUGUUAUUAAUGAGAUUCCUCCUUGUACUGUUUCGCAGUUGAUUAAUGAUAGUCGUUGAGUUUGUUUGUGUCAAAAAAAAGUAUGAACUACCUUGGGGGUGAAAACCACGUAGUCUUAACAAUAGUUAAUUUACUUGUUGUCAGAUUGGUGCAAUCAAUAAAAUCAAUGUUUAAAUCCAUCAUUAAUUAGUUUUAUUGAAUUUUGAAGAUUUUAAUGAACUACCUAAGCAUCUUAUUUAAGUGUUAAUCACUAUAGAAAGUUCUAGUAGGUGAGAUUCUGUUAUUAACAUAAUCUGAUAGUUGGUAGGUUGCUUUAUAAUGAUGGUACACCUGAUAAAGAUGCUAUCAACCACAGCAGAAGCACUGAUAAUGCUUGAUUCCUGUGGAUCUAACAUUAUUGAGCUAGCGUGGCAGGCUAUGAAACAUGUGAAAGCUUCAAUAAUGACUAUGGCAUCUUCCACCAGAUCACUAGUUCUCUUUCUUCUAGCCAUGGAACCAUCACAAGGAUUGCCGACACCGGUGGACCAAAUGGCACUUAGUAUUAAAUAUUCUCUGGAUCAGGUAAUGUUUUUAAAUGCCAAGUUAUAUUUUUAAAGCUCCUCAUUAAAUAGCUGGGCUAUUAUAGUCAUAUAUUUUCCUACAAACCAGAGAUGCUUUGGAGGACAUCCUCAUUAAAUAGUUGUUGAUACUUCACAGGAUGCUUUUUUAACCAGAGACUGUUGCACUCAUCUUUAUUCUUUACAAUUAUUACGAUGUCAAUAAUUUGUUAGUUUAAGGAUUGGAACCGUCAUCUAUUAGACCAUAUGUUCAUCUAUUCCAGCUGCCUUGGUAAGUUUAUCCGCAUCAAUUUCCAGUCUUGACACAAGAAGUGUAAUAACUCUAAUGUCCUUGUUCACAACCUCAAUAGCAUAUAUCCUUGUACCAUACACAAACUGACAUACAGUUGGAUUUUAUUUUACAUACCUUUUAGAU